GGUCGGUUAGCAAAGUCGGUUAGAGCGUAGCGCUAAUAACGCCAAGGACGCAGGUCCGAUCCCAGUACUGGCCA
This is a non-coding RNA of Gymnothorax javanicus (giant moray), 74 nucleotides long. Lineage: Eukaryota; Metazoa; Chordata; Actinopteri; Anguilliformes; Muraenidae. The record is from the annotation of a GenBank genome assembly.